AUCAUGCAAGUCGAACGAACUUCCGUUAAUUGAUUAUGAGGUGCUUGCACUGAAUGAGAUUUUAACACGAAGUGAGUGGCGGACGGGUGAGUAACACGUGGGUAACCUGCCCAGAAGCAGGGGAUAACACCUGGAAACAGAUGCUAAUACCGUAUAACAGAGAAAACCGCCUGGUUUUCUUUUAAAAGAUGGCUCUGCUAUCACUUCUGGAUGGACCCGCGGCGCAUUAGCUAGUUGGUGAGGUAACGGCUCACCAAGGCGAUGAUGCGUAGCCGACCUGAGAGGGUAAUCGGCCACAUUGGGACUGAGACACGGCCCAGACUCCUACGGGAGGCAGCAGUAGGGAAUCUUCCACAAUGGACGCAAGUCUGAUGGAGCAACGCCGCGUGAGUGAAGAAGGGUUUCGGCUCGUAAAGCUCUGUUGUUAAAGAAGAACGUGGGUGAGAGUAACUGUUCACCCAGUGACGGUAUUUAACCAGAAAGCCACGGCUAACUACGUGCCAGCAGCCGCGGUAAUACGUAGGUGGCAAGCGUUAUCCGGAUUUAUUGGGCGUAAAGCG
This 560-nucleotide ribosomal RNA is filed under the name Pediococcus acidilactici. RNAcentral describes it as "bacterial SSU rRNA". It matches the Rfam family "Bacterial small subunit ribosomal RNA", at positions 52 to 567 of the family's 1533-position model. The record is from RNAcentral. Lineage: Bacteria; Bacillati; Bacillota; Bacilli; Lactobacillales; Lactobacillaceae.